RNAcentral lists this RNase P RNA (441 nucleotides) under Planctomycetaceae bacterium. Its description in RNAcentral is "RNase P RNA component class A". It matches the Rfam family "Bacterial RNase P class A". Rfam says of the family: Ribonuclease P (RNase P) is a ubiquitous endoribonuclease, found in archaea, bacteria and eukarya as well as chloroplasts and mitochondria. Its best characterised activity is the generation of mature 5'-ends of tRNAs by cleaving the 5'-leader elements of precursor-tRNAs. Lineage: Bacteria; Pseudomonadati; Planctomycetota; Planctomycetia; Planctomycetales; Planctomycetaceae. The record is from RNAcentral.
AGAGCGAGCUGGACGAUCGUCGGCCGGUCGGCUACCUCGAUCCCGCAAGGGUUCAGGGCGGCGCGGCGGGAGGAAAGUCCGGGCUCCGCAGCGCACCGUGGUGGGUAACGCCCACCGACCGCAAGGUCCGGGAACAGUGCAACAGAAAGCAAACCGCCGAUCGGGCGACGCAAGUCGUUCGAGGUAAGGGUGAAACGGUGAGGUAAGAGCUCACCAGCGGUUCGGGCGACCGGCCGGCUAGGUAAACCCCACGGGGAGCAAGGCCAAACAGGAAGGAGUUCGCCGCCGCAAGGCAGGUCGGCGACGCGGAUCGGCUCGAUCCGCUCACUUCCGGGUAGGCUGCUUGAGCCGACGAGCAAUCGUCGGCCUAGAAAAAUGAUCGUCGCGCCGCGUUCGCAAGUCCGCGGCGGACAGAACCCGGCUUAUAGGCUCGCUUUGAAC